UCCUUCACAGCUUAGGAGGAGGAGGUAACCCUAAGGGUUUGUGUUUUCUAUCCUCUCCUCUCUAAUCUCUAUCUUGGAGACUUUUGAACUCUAUGAUUCCAGAUGGCCGUCUCUGGACCGAUGUAAUCGAUGUAUCUGAAUUCUAUUUACUCGAAUUCUUGGAGGCACCUGCUUUAUUUCAAUCUCCAUUGCUGUUUCUUGGUGAGAUCAAGAUAUUUUAAGCCAGAUAUCUCGACGGGAUCUACUGAGGAGCUGCUUUACCGGCAUCUAACAAAAUAUAAGCUCUGCUGUUCACUAGAGAUCUCAUCUCUGUUGGAAAUUCAACACCUUGACUCCAAAUGAAAAGACAGUCGCAAAGAGCACAGGAAAUGCAA
This is a non-coding RNA of Phoenix dactylifera (date palm), 374 nucleotides long. The record is from RefSeq and is a predicted model, not a curated record. NCBI's taxonomy places the organism in Eukaryota, Viridiplantae, Streptophyta, Magnoliopsida, Arecales, Arecaceae.